AAUGGGGGAAACCCUGAUGCAGCCAUGCCGCGUGUGUGAAGAAGGCCUUCGGGUUGUAAAGCACUUUCAGCGAGGAGGAAAGGGGUGAUGCUAAUACCAUCAUCCUGUGACGUUACUCGCAGAAGAAGCACCGGCUAACUCCGUGCCAGCAGCCGCGGUAAUACGGAGGGUGCAAGCGUUAAUCGGAAUAACUGGGCGUAAAGCGCACGCAGGCGGUCGGAUAAGUCAGAUGUGAAAGCCCCGGGCUCAACCUGGGAACUGCAUUUGAAACUGUUCGACUAGAGUCUUGUAGAGGGGGGUAGAAUUCCAGGUGUAGCGGUGAAAUGCGUAGAGAUCUGGAGGAAUACCGGUGGCGAAGGCGGCCCCCUGGACAAAGACUGACGCUCAGGUGCGAAAGCGUGGGGAGCAAA
Molecule: ribosomal RNA, 410 nt
Filed under: uncultured bacterium
Lineage: Bacteria
Description: bacterial SSU rRNA
Rfam family: Bacterial small subunit ribosomal RNA
Source: RNAcentral